GGAGGUAGUAUUUAUUUUAUUAUGACUUGAUUUUACUAAAUGUUCUUUAAGCCUGACUUAAAUAUUUUUAUAUCUACACAAAUUUUUUUAUUAAAAUUAAUAGUCAAAUGUUUGUUAAAAACUCAACGGCGCCAUAUACCCAAAAGAACAGUAUAUGUUUAACCGUCCCUUUGACUUCUAUGUUCAACAUGUUCCGUCACAUAUUCAUACUUGAGUUCUUUUGGCCAUUGUAUUUACAGUCUUAGCACGUUUUUAGGCACUCAAAUCGUGGACGGGCUCGUAGCUUUCUUUUUGGCUAUGUUUUGUGGGGACACCCAAUUUAGGCCUGGUGCCCCAAAUAUCCACUCGUGAUCGUCUAGGAUUUCGAUCACGCACAGAUUGAUAUACAAAACAGCUUUCAAUUAAUUAUACAAAUUUGUUUAUACAACCUAAUUAUACAAUUGUUAAAGGUUGAAGAGAUCCACACUAAUACAUCCUUACUUGAAAAUACAAGGAAAAUCCAAACUCCUAAACUACUAAACUACAACUAAUGAACUCCACAAGCAAAAGCUAGACUAUCCUAGAAAAACUUGUUGUUGCUGUAGACCUCGCUAUCUUCUGGUCUUCUUAUUAGCACAAUUCUCUAUAUGUUAAAUUAUGCAAGAGUGGGUACUUAUGUACUCAGCAAGACAUAUUAUAAAUAAUUAAAGGUGAAGAGAUAUGAAUAAAUGAAACAAUGAGUAAAUAAAGGAGUAAUAAAAUCAUAUAUCAUUCUUAUCCUCAAAAUUUAUUUUUUAAAACUACUUAUACUUCAGGAGUAGGAAUCACCCUUAUGACAUAUCUCCUUAAUCGGGAGCAUGGUGUAUUCGAAUACGGUACGACUAUGUAGUGUUUGCCUAGCUUUACCCACACGAUGAGAACAAUUUGCAAAGGCUGUAAACACCAUAGCCGUUCGAGAGUCCCACUUACUACUAGUUACUGCACAGUGGGGUCUUGGUUCAUCAUAGUGGUUGAACUCUUGCCAGGCCUAGGCAAGGUUACUAUAUCGUCACACUUUCAUGAAGCCCACUGUUGUGAAUCAUGCCGCCCAAACACCUUACGCAUGAUUCACCCCAAAAAACUGCUCCUAAUGAGCUACCCAACAGUCUUUCAUAUAGUGGGACAAUACUAGGCUAAGUCCAAUUACUUGGUCGUGUGGAUGGGCGCAAACUAUGUCAUUUCCCAUGGUAUAAGGGGGUAAUUAUAAUCCAGUUAAACCACCAAAAAUUAUGUCAACAUCCAAAACUUCCAUACCAACAAACUUCAUCAUAAAUUCCAACAUUCACAACUUUCAACAAUCACAACCUCAACUCAAAUGCCCAUUUUAACCAGAUUCCUAAGUUUGUAAAGAUAUUUGAAUAAUAAACCACAUAAAAUGAUAACCAUGUAUCUUUCUAUAACCUCAUGUAAUAAUGCUUGAAGGCAUUUAACAUCUACCGAUGAGAUGCUAAAUGAGUAAUAUAUCAUGCAUAAAAUUAAACUGAAGAUUAUAUUGAGUUUUCUAUAUGAUCAAAAUUUUAGUUAUGUCUUGCCUCACGCCUCGAGAUUCUUGUGGUUUUAGCGUAGCCAUCUGGGUCCACAUAAGCUCCUUGGAUGUCGAUAGAAUUUGCUGUACGGUCGAACGUACUAAUACAAAAAGAUAGCAAAUAAACCCUAUAAAAAAAUGCUACAAAGAAAUGAUAAACCAAGGAAUAAAUAAAAUUGGAGCAAAGCGAGGGAAAAAGGAAUGGUUCAAAAUAGAUUUAAAUUUGGAAAACAAAAGAGAGGUUUUGGUUUCUAAAGGUUGGGAAUUAAAUAAAAUCGAAGAAAGGAUAAUUUGGAUAGGUGGGGUUUAUUUGGUGGAUUUGGUUUCUAGUCGGUGCUAUAGUUGGGCAGCACGACGGCUAGAAAUUUGGGUUUGGUUAGCCGAUGCUGAGGUUGGGUAGCAUAACGCCUUAAAUGGCUUGUCUAGUCGAUGCUACAGUCAAGCAGCACAACGACUAGUGAGUUAGGAGAUUUGUGUGGAGCGGAACAGUGUUACUCUAUAGUCGUGAGUGACAAUAGAGCGGCUAGGAUUGCACAUAGCCCAAGGACUUAGUGUGCAGCGUGUUAUGGAGGUCGAGAGAGUAGUAAGGCUCCGACCGCUAUAUGCGUUGAGGCGUGGGGUGCAAAGACAAACACUUCAACCUUGGGAUUAGGUUAUGCCGGGUUUUACGACCAACGGUUUGAUGUAGGAGUUUGAGACCACGCGAACGUCUCCACAGAAGGCGUAAAGUGUCCACAGUAGCUGUUUAGUGGCAAUGAGAUAGUAUAGGAAUGGUUUAGAAAUAAAAAGGGUAUUUAAAUAAAUCAAAGGAAUUUGAAUUCAAAAAGGGGUUUCAAAUAGAUUAAAGAAAUAAAAUUUAAAAUGGUAUUUUAAAAUAAAGAAAUGGGGUUUUAAAGAAAUUAAAGGAUAAUUUAAUUUUAAAAAGGUUUUUAAAUAAAACAAGAAAUUUAAAAUUAAAGGGAUAUAAAGUAUAUCAAAUAAAUUUAAAAUAAUUUUUAAAGGUUAAUUAAAAUAAUUUAAAAUCAGAAAGUAAAUAAAUAAAUAAGGAAAAGCUAUUUAAAUAAAGAAAUUUAAAUAAAAUUUUAAAAAUAGGAAAUUUAGUAUCAAAAUAAAGGGUUUGAAACUAGAUGAACUUAGGUCAAAAAAAUUCUGGAAUUGGAUCAACGGUUGGAGAGAUAUGGAUGUCUAAAGUUUGGAAUUUGAAAUAAAUCAAAUAAAGAAAAGGAUUACUAUUUAGAAGUGGGGCCCACUCGUCAUAGCCUUCUUUUAUCUCUUCUUCUUCCUUGAGCCACAGAGAAAGAGGGGGGAGGCAGAGAAGGGGCGGUGCGCACGGUCCGGUGGCUCGGCGCUUCCGGCGGCGGCUGGGGACGGCGCAUGGGCUAGGACAACGGCCGACGGUGGAGGAGCGAAGGGAACACGACAGCCGGCGGUGGUGGAUUUGAGGAAGAGAGAGAGAGAGAGAGAGAGAGAGAGAGAGAGAGAGAAUUUGAGUUUUGGAUGGGGAAAAUGGGAGGGGUUCGCCGGUUUAUAUGGGAGGCAAAGGCGGUGGAGGGAGAGUUGGUCGACGACGGCACGGCGGCGUCAGCUCGGAAUAGUGAUGUGACGGCACCGAGUGUCAGCUUUCGAUUGGCUGUCGAUGACGGGUUGGUGGUUGGCGGCGGCUAGUGGCGACACGCAACCGAGGGGAAUGGCUCGGCGUCGGGCGGCAGUGGCAAAAACAACGGCGAUGGCGGCUUAGCAGCGGUGGUGGCGGAGUAGCGGCGGCGGCCGCGGAUUGGCGAUAGCGGCGGCAACCUAGGGGGUGCCGGGGGCCCCUGGUAUGCGGUGGUGGCAGAACGGUGCCGGCGUGGCAAUAGCGGAUGGCGGGGACGGUGCGAC
RNAcentral lists this long non-coding RNA (3421 nucleotides) under Oryza sativa (Asian cultivated rice). RNAcentral's name for it is "long non-coding RNA (OSAT_LNC001124)". Lineage: Eukaryota; Viridiplantae; Streptophyta; Magnoliopsida; Poales; Poaceae. The record is from RNAcentral.